RNAcentral lists this ribosomal RNA (400 nucleotides) under uncultured bacterium. RNAcentral's name for it is "bacterial SSU rRNA". It matches the Rfam family "Bacterial small subunit ribosomal RNA", at positions 355 to 751 of the family's 1533-position model. The record is from RNAcentral.
UAAGGAAUAUUGGGCAAUGGACGCAAGUCUGACCCAGCCAUGCCGCGUGCAGGAUGACGGCCCUACGGGUUGUAAACUGCUUUUGUACGGGAAAAAACCCCCAGUCGUGCAUUGGGGCUGAUGGUACCGUAAGAAUAAGCAUCGGCUAACUCCGUGCCAGCAGCCGCGGUAAUACGGAGGAUGCAAGCGUUAUCCGGAUUCAUUGGGUUUAAAGGGUCCGCAGGCGGAACUGUAAGUCAGGGGUGAAAUCCUACGGCUCAACCGUAGAACUGCCCUUGAUACUGCUGUUCUAGAGUACAGUUGAGGUGGGCGGAAUGUGUCAUGUAGCGGUGAAAUGCAUAGAUAUGACACAGAACACCGAUCGCGAAGGCAGCUCACCAAGCUGUAACUGACGCUCAGG